GAUGAACGCUGGCGGCGUGCUUAACACAUGCAAGUCGAACGAAGCAUUUAAGACAGAUUACUUCGGUUUGAGGUCUUUUAUGACUGAGUGGCGGACGGGUGAGUAACGCGUGGGUAACCUGCCUCAUACAGGGGGAUAGCAGCUGGAAACGGCUGGUAAUACCGCAUAAGCGCACAGUACCACAUGGUACAGUGUGAAAAACUCCGGUGGUAUGAGAUGGACCCGCGUCUGAUUAGCUUGUUGGCGGGGUAACGGCCCACCAAGGCGACGAUCAGUAGCCGACCUGAGAGGGUGACCGGCCACAUUGGGACUGAGACACGGCCCAGACUCCUACGGGAGGCAGCAGUGGGGAAUAUUGCACAAUGGAGGAAACUCUGAUGCAGCGACGCCGCGUGAGUGAAGAAGUAGUUCGCUAUGUAAAGCUCUAUCAGCAGGAAAGAUAGUGACGGUACCUGACUAAGAAGCUCCGGCUAAAUACGUG
Molecule: ribosomal RNA, 481 nt
Filed under: uncultured bacterium
Lineage: Bacteria
Description: partial 16S ribosomal RNA
Rfam family: Bacterial small subunit ribosomal RNA
Source: RNAcentral